RNAcentral lists this non-coding RNA (177 nucleotides) under Pseudoalteromonas rubra. Its description in RNAcentral is "Lysine sequence". It matches the Rfam family "Lysine riboswitch aptamer". From Rfam's summary of the family: Riboswitches are metabolite binding domains within certain messenger RNAs that serve as precision sensors for their corresponding targets. Allosteric rearrangement of mRNA structure is mediated by ligand binding, and this results in modulation of gene expression. This family includes riboswitches that sense lysine in a number of genes involved in lysine metabolism, including lysC. The record is from Rfam by way of RNAcentral. Lineage: Bacteria; Pseudomonadati; Pseudomonadota; Gammaproteobacteria; Alteromonadales; Pseudoalteromonadaceae.
AGGGCUGGAAGAGGUGCGUUAUUCAGGUAUUUGAGUGGAGGAGAGCAAACUCCCGCGAAACUCAAAGAGGGGAAUUAACGCCGAGAAGCACUGCGUUUUGCUUACGUAAUGCUUCGGGCGACUGGGUUGAAUCCCAGCGACUGUCACCAACACAUUUGGUGGAGAGCUUCUGGUCUU